Long non-coding RNA from Astatotilapia calliptera (eastern happy), 1232 nucleotides. The record is from Ensembl. Lineage: Eukaryota; Metazoa; Chordata; Actinopteri; Cichliformes; Cichlidae.
GCACCUGAUAAGACACAUUGCAGAGGAAUGUGAAAUAUGUGCUUUUCAAGCCAAAAAAAUUAUUAAGAGAUUUCCCAGACAUGCAGCUGCCAGGUUUGUGAUCAUACAAAGAAAAACGAUUGGCUUACCAUCAAUACCUGUCAAAAGUUUGCUCGCCCUUUGUUUCUCUCAGCAAAUAAAUAGGCGAUCUCACUCUCCUCUAAUCACACCUCUCUUCAACAAUCCUCCAGUGCUCACGUGCAGCCAGGAAAGAAAGCAAGUUUCAAAAUGAAAUUUAUCGUGCUUGCUGCCUGCAUCCUUGGGAUGGCCAUCUCUGCUCCUCUGCAGAUAUUUGAGGAGUUUGACAUCCAUUACGCUCCACCUCAGGCGGCCCAGGUUAUCCCUGCUGGAGUCCCACUUGACAAUCUGGAAGUUUUGCUCCCUGUUGAUGCCCAAAGACACCCUCUUGGAGGACCUGUCCACGGCUUUAUCAAGCACGAGAUUCCAAAUCCGAAUGGCAUAGGUACCAAGGAGGUGUUCUACCCCUUUGGCUUCAACCUGCCUAAUCCAGCUGCAGCUGACCCAGCUGCUCCAGUUGCCCCAGCUGCUCCAGCUGCUCCAGCUGCCCCAGCUGCCCCUGUUGCUCUUGCUGAUCCUGCCAUUCCUGUGGAACCUCUGAAUCCUGUCGUCGUUGCACCUCCCCCACGUGGCAAAGAUGAUGAAGAUGAAGAUGACUAAAACUACUUAGUCAGCAGGAAAAAAACACUCUUGGCACACUCAGGUGACCAGAGGUGUAAGACUAUCUGCUUACUGUGGUGAAAAAUCGCCAGCCAGCAAUGCUAUUUUCUGUGGUGCUAUGCAUUUUUUGAAACGGUGCUUUGUUUGGAAAAAGAAGAAUAAAGUCAAAAAGCAUGACAUGCCUCUUAUGAAAAAAAAAUUGAUGGUUUGCAGUUAAAUAUGACCAAAAGAAAAUAUCAAAAUAAAUGUAGCAGUAUAUUGUUUCCUCUCUACAUGCAACAUGAAAUGUUUCAUUUCUGUGCUUCAUAAUAAAUGAAACAGCUCAUUCAUCUAUUGUUUCUGGUUCUUUGCUUAAGAUAUAUUUCAAAUAAUAAAUAUCUGAUACUCAGUCCAUGAAUUAUAUGCAGCAUUUUGCAGAUUAUUACUGACUUGCUUUUUUGACUAUCCACAAAUAGCUACAGCAGGCAAUUAUAUUUAUUAUAAAUAAUAAAGGCUGUUCUCUGAUUUCACUACUA